Molecule: ribosomal RNA, 465 nt
Filed under: uncultured bacterium
Lineage: Bacteria
Description: partial 16S ribosomal RNA
Rfam family: Bacterial small subunit ribosomal RNA
Source: RNAcentral
GAUGAACGCUGGCGGCGUGCUUAACACAUGCAAGUCGAACGGAAAGGCUCCUGCUUGCAGGGGUACUCGAGUGGCGAACGGGUGAGUAACACGUGGGUGAUCUGCCCUGCACUUCGGGAUAAGCCUGGGACACUGGGUCUAAUACCGGAUAGGACGAUGGUUUGGAUGCCAUUGUGGAAAGUUUUUCGGUGUGGGAUGGGCUCGCGGCCUAUCAGCUUGUUGGUGGGGUAAUGGCCUACCAAGGCGUCGACGGGUAGCCGGCCUGAGAGGGUGUACGGCCACACUGGGACUGAGAUACGGCCCAGACCACUAUGGUAGGCAGCAGUGGGGAAUAGUGCACAAUGGGCGGAAGCCUGAUGCAGCGACGCCGCGUGGGGGAUGACGUCCUUCGGGUUGUAAACUCCUUUCGCUAGGGACGAAGCGCAAGUGACGGUACCUGGAGAAGAAGCACCGGCUAACUACGUG